UUCAAACACUGUCUCAAAAUCUUCUCCAGAGGUUUGGGCGACUACUGUUGACUCAAAUGCUACAUUAGCAUGCAUAAGAUCAUUUAAGAUCUACUCUCUCAUCAGCCCAUGAAUCAAAGCAUUUGAUUAGCAGAAGUACUGGGAUCCUACAGAAAAAACUGAGGCUUCACGAAGUGAGGAACAUGUCAAGUCAUACAGGUCUUUUGAACUUGUUAGUGGAACUUUCAGCUUAUCCUCUGAGAUACCUCAGCAAAUCUUCCAAGGUCUAGGUUUUUCUCCACCAUGUAAGUCUUGAAGCAAAUUUUGUCAACUUUCUAUUACCGGCUAAA
Molecule: long non-coding RNA, 329 nt
Organism: Suricata suricatta (meerkat)
Lineage: Eukaryota; Metazoa; Chordata; Mammalia; Carnivora; Herpestidae
Exons: 4
Source: RefSeq, a predicted model, not a curated record